AAAACAAGACAUAUGAAGAAAAACCAUUGAAGAGAAGUGAACAGUAAAAUAUUAACCAUUGAAUGCACAACAAAGAUUCAAAGAGUGUUCAAAGAUUGAAGUGAGGACAAAACUCAAUAGAAUUAUUUUUUGGUGAGACUUG
Molecule: non-coding RNA, 142 nt
Organism: Arachis ipaensis
Lineage: Eukaryota; Viridiplantae; Streptophyta; Magnoliopsida; Fabales; Fabaceae
Source: RefSeq, a predicted model, not a curated record